CGCGUGGGAAUCUACCGAGUAGUGGGGGACAACAGUCGGAAACGACUGCUAAUACCGCAUACGUCCUAAGGGAGAAAGUGGGGGAUCUAUUUAUAGACCUCACGCUAUUCGAUGAGCCCGCGUAAGAUUAGCUAGUUGGUGGGGUAAAGGCUCACCAAGGCGACGAUCUUUAGCUGGUCUGAGAGGAUGAUCAGCCACAUUGGGACUGAGACACGGCCCAAACUCCUACGGGAGGCAGCAGUGGGGAAUAUUGCACAAUGGGGGAAACCCUGAUGCAGCCAUGCCGCGUGUGUGAAGAAG
Molecule: ribosomal RNA, 300 nt
Filed under: uncultured Alteromonadaceae bacterium
Lineage: Bacteria; Pseudomonadati; Pseudomonadota; Gammaproteobacteria; Alteromonadales; Alteromonadaceae
Description: bacterial SSU rRNA
Rfam family: Bacterial small subunit ribosomal RNA
Source: RNAcentral